GCCCCAUGUGUCCUCAGACGGCAUCAGACGAGGACGAAAGAUUUAUCGGAAGUGGAUGGGGAUGCGCCUGAUUAGGCAGUUGGCGGGGCAACGGCCCACCAAGCCGACGAUCAGUAGGGGUUCUGAGAGGAAGGUCCCCCACAUUGGAACUGAGACACGGUCCAAACUCCUACGGGAGGCAGCAGUGAGGAAUAUUGGUCAAUGGGCGAGAGCCUGAACCAGCCAAGUAGCGUGCAGGACGACGGCCCUAUGGGUUGUAAACUGCUUUUGCGCGGGGAUAAAGUGCGCCAUGUGUGGCUCAUUGCAGGUACCGCGCGAAUAAGGACCGGCUAAUUCCGUGCCAGCAGCCGCGGUAAUACGGAAGGUCCAGGCGUUAUCCGGAUUCAUUGGGUUUAAAGGGAGCGCAGGCCGCCCCUUAAGCGUGUUGUGAAAUGCCGCGGCUCAACCGUGGCACUGCAGCGCGAACUGGGGGGCUUGAGUGCGCGCAGCGCAGGCGGAACUCGUGGUGUAGCGGUGAAAUGCUUAGAUAUCACGAAGAACUCCGAUCGCGAAGGCAGCCUGCGGGAGCGCAACUGACGCUGAGGCUCGAAAGUGCGGGUAUCGAACAGGAUUAGAUACCCUGGUAGUCCGCACGGUAAA
Molecule: ribosomal RNA, 639 nt
Filed under: uncultured bacterium
Lineage: Bacteria
Description: bacterial SSU rRNA
Rfam family: Bacterial small subunit ribosomal RNA
Source: RNAcentral